Molecule: long non-coding RNA, 995 nt
Organism: Anneissia japonica
Lineage: Eukaryota; Metazoa; Echinodermata; Crinoidea; Comatulida; Comatulidae
Exons: 3
Source: RefSeq, a predicted model, not a curated record
GUUCUUGGAGCACUGUUUAAUAACAAGUUUGGAUAUUUACCCUUUCCUCCCCUCUCUUGCCAUGUGGAUUGUUCGGAAACUAGGCCUAGGGUAGGCCAAAGCAAUAUUUAUUGUAUUAAAGAAUGUUGAAACUUUACCUUGAUAUCUACGAUUUUGUUCAAUAGUGGAAAUUAUUUCAAGAAUUAUCUUAACAAUAUGAAGGAAAUUGAGAGUGAUCUUCAAGCCAUGAAUACACCACCACCGACCUUGCAGCAGGAAAACACAGGCACACAUUUGUUGUGGAUUGUGAAAACAAGCAAUCAGUAAGAGUUUGGUAUUGCAUGAAGCAGAUAACUAAUUGGAAGUGCACACUGAUUUGUUGGAAGCUUGGAUAAAUCAGGGAGUUGUUACCAAAGAAGCCGAUGUACUGUGGCAAACUGACGCUGAUAUAAAUAAGGUUGAGCAAAUAAAAGGAAUUGUGGGAAAUCAGGACUGAUUAGUUUGAACCCUGGAAGCCGAACCUUAGCAAAGUCGGACUUUGAGAUAAGUGUGUGAAGUCAAAUUUCAACGUAUAAUAAUGAAGCAGUGAACUUUAAUAAAAAUAGACUGAUUUGUUUGAAUUAUACUGGUACCUGAAGCUUAGUGAACUCUGAUGUACGAAGCAGAUAAAAUGUGGAAAGGCAUUUGUUGUGCAUUCAUAGAAUGAAUGAUUAUGACUGUUAGCCAUGUAGAGAUUGUGGUCUACUUCAUUAAGUUAGUGCUGGCCUUUCAAAAUGCUGAUGUUUUUGUCCGAUUCUGGACCUAGUUAAAUAGAAUGUUGGUCCGAUUCUGAACUUAAUUUAAAUGGCUUAUAGAUAAAAUUCUGAACUUUAGUUAAAAUGUUGGUUCAAUUCUGGUAUGUACAGUAGUGUAAAUUAUUGUUCCUAUUCUGGGCUUAGUUAAAGUCCUGGACUUAGUGUAAAAUGUUGUCCAAUAGUUAAAAUUCUGGAAUUGGUGUAACUAAUUGUCCUAUUGUA